RNAcentral lists this ribosomal RNA (253 nucleotides) under uncultured bacterium. RNAcentral's name for it is "partial 16S ribosomal RNA". It matches the Rfam family "Bacterial small subunit ribosomal RNA", at positions 524 to 776 of the family's 1533-position model. The record is from RNAcentral.
UACGAAGGGUGCUAGCGUUGUUCGGAAUUACUGGGCGUAAAGCGCGCGCAGGCGGUCCUUCAAGUCAGAGGUGAAAGCCCAGAGCUCAACUCUGGAAUGGCCUUUGAGACUAGAGGACUUGGGUACGGGAGAGGUGAGUGGAAUUCCGAGUGUAGAGGUGAAAUUCGUAGAUAUUCGGAAGAACACCAGUGGCGAAGGCGGCUCACUGGCCCGUUACCGACGCUCAGGCGCGACAGCGUGGGGAGCAAACAGG